Molecule: ribosomal RNA, 989 nt
Filed under: Serrognathus titanus
Lineage: Eukaryota; Metazoa; Arthropoda; Insecta; Coleoptera; Lucanidae
Description: partial 16S ribosomal RNA
Rfam family: Archaeal large subunit ribosomal RNA (bases 398-989)
Source: RNAcentral
UAAAAAUACAUUUUAUAUAAGAUUAUCUCGAAUUUAGAAGAGCUAGGGGAUUAUUAAUUUUAAUGUGGAAUAAUUAUUUAAAAUAUUUUCCUUGUUAUUAGACGUUAGUCGGUUUUAAAUAUAUCUAGUUUUCAAAGAAAUUAAUUUAAUUAGGCCUGUUUAAUUAAUUAAUUAUUUGGAUAAUUAAUUAUUGAACAGAGAAAUAUUCAGGGGGAUAAGCUCUUGAUUAAAUUAUCUAAAAAAUUAUGAGUUUGAAAGGUUAAAUAGGAAUAGAAGUUUUCAUUUUUUGUAGUGUGUUAUAUCAAGAUCUUUAAAUAGUUGAUUUGUUUUUUUUUAGAUUUUUUAUUUGAAUGUUGAAUUUAAUUUUAAAUUUUAAGUAAUAAUGAUUAAAUUAGUAUAAUGAGUUGUUUAUAAAUUAUGAAUAGGGAAUUUUAGUCAAGGAAUUCGGCAAAUUUAUUUUCUGCCUGUUUAUUAAAAACAUGUCCUUUAGAUUUAUUAUUUAAGGUCAGGCCUGCCCAAUGAUAAAAUUAAAUGGCCGCGGUAUUUUGACCGUGCAAAGGUAGCAUAAUCAUUAGUUUUUUAAUUGAAAGCUGGAAUGAACGGUCUGACAAGAAAAUUACUGUCUCGGUUAAAUUAUUAGAAUUUUAUUUUUUAGUCAAAAAGCUUAGAUGUUUUUAUGGGACGAGAAGACCCUAUAGAAUUUUAUAAUUUUUUUUUGAUUGGGUUUUUAGUUUAAUUUCCCUAAUUAUGAAAAAUUUAAUUUGUUGGGGUGACAGGAAAAUUUAUUUAACUUUUCUUAAGUUUUUUCACUUAUUUGUGUUUUUGUGAUCCAUUUUUUAUGAUUAUAAGAUUAAAUUACCUUAGGGAUAACAGCGUUAUUAAUUUGGAGAGUUCUUAUUGAUAAAUUAGUUUGCGACCUCGAUGUUGGAUUAAAAUUUAUUUUCGGUGUAGGGGCUGAAAAAUUAAGUCUGUUCGACUUUUAAAAUUUU